UGGCUCAGAACGAACGCUGGCGGCAGGCCUAACACAUGCAAGUCGAGCGAUCCAGCAAUGGGGAGCGGCAGACGGGUGAGUAACACGUGGGAACGUACCCUUCGGUUCGGAAUAACUCAGGGAAACUUGAGCUAAUACCGGAUACGUCCGAGAGGAGAAAGAUUUAUCGCCGAAGGAUCGGCCCGCGUCUGAUUAGCUAGUUGGUGAGGUAACGGCUCACCAAGGCGACGAUCAGUAGCUGGUCUGAGAGGAUGAUCAGCCACAUUGGGAUUGAGACACGGCCCAAAGACCUACGGGAGGCA
RNAcentral lists this ribosomal RNA (302 nucleotides) under uncultured Hyphomicrobiales bacterium. Its description in RNAcentral is "bacterial SSU rRNA". It matches the Rfam family "Bacterial small subunit ribosomal RNA", at positions 20 to 350 of the family's 1533-position model. The record is from RNAcentral. Lineage: Bacteria; Pseudomonadati; Pseudomonadota; Alphaproteobacteria; Hyphomicrobiales.